Long non-coding RNA from Chrysemys picta bellii (western painted turtle), 299 nucleotides. RefSeq lists it as uncharacterized. NCBI's taxonomy places the organism in Eukaryota, Metazoa, Chordata, Testudines, Emydidae. The record is from RefSeq and is a predicted model, not a curated record.
GCUUGUCCCCUGAGUGCUCCUUAAACAUACAGGGACCUCCAAGAAGAUUGCUUCUAAGCGUAUGGGGACACUGCAAAGACAGACCCGAUCCCCAAAAGUCUACACUCUGGAGAAGGGUGACACAGCCAUCCCCCAAUCUAAAGAGGACUCCUGGCUCAGGAAGUACUUCUGAGAUCUGUUUGAGAGUGUGUGAAGGUGACGGCAAUACAGCAGCAGAAAGAAUCUGUGCCUGCUUGUGCUAGUUCACCAAUAAACUUACUAUGACAUCGCAUAAGACCACAGAGAUACAAUACCAGGUA